CGCAUCUGUGCAUGCAGCAUAUCAAUAAGCGGAGGAAAAGAAACUAACAAGGAUUCCCUUAGUAACGGCGAGUGAAGCGGGAAGAGCUCAAAUUUGAAAUCUUCAAGGGUUUACCUUGACGAAUUGUAGUUUAAAGAAGUGUUUUCUGCUGAGGUUUUGGUAAAAGUUCUUUGGAAUAGGACAUCAUAGAGGGUGAGAAUCCCGUAUUUGACCAUUACUUUCAACUUUGUGAUACACUUUCAAAGAGUCGGAUUGUUUGGGAAUGCAGUCCAAAAUGGGUGGUAAAUUUCAUCUAAAGCUAAAUAUUGGCGAGAGACCGAUAGCGAACAAGUACCGUGAGGGAAAGAUGAAAAGAACUUUGAAAAGAGAGUUAAACAGUACGUGAAAUUGUCAAAAGGGAAGCGUUUGACACCAGUGUUGUUUUCUCGAAAAUCAAUUAAAGAAUGCUCGAUUUAUGUAAGUUGCUUAGACCUUUAUAAGCUCAUCUGUACAGUUUUCGUGUCUUUUUUAAUGCACUUUUCAGUUAACAAGUCAACAUCAAUUUCUUUUGUUGUAAAAAGGUCAUUGGAAGGUGGCUUGCGAUUCGUAUAAGUGUUUAUAGCCUCUUGCCUCUGCAGUCGGAGAGACUGAGGUCUGCAGCGUAGACUCUUCGGGGUUAGAUACAUUUGUGCUAAGUUAUAGCUUUUUAUAGACAACUUGUUGACUAUGAUUAGUCUUGUAGCUUACUCGCUUAUGCUAUUUUACCUACGCUUAGGAUGUUGAUAGUCACAGCGUGUAC
RNAcentral lists this ribosomal RNA (778 nucleotides) under uncultured Neocallimastigales. Its description in RNAcentral is "partial large subunit ribosomal RNA". It matches the Rfam family "Eukaryotic large subunit ribosomal RNA", at positions 26 to 635 of the family's 3401-position model. Lineage: Eukaryota; Fungi; Neocallimastigomycota; Neocallimastigomycetes; Neocallimastigales. The record is from RNAcentral.